RNAcentral lists this ribosomal RNA (503 nucleotides) under uncultured bacterium. RNAcentral describes it as "partial 16S ribosomal RNA". It matches the Rfam family "Bacterial small subunit ribosomal RNA", at positions 30 to 523 of the family's 1533-position model. The record is from RNAcentral.
AUUGAACGCUGGCGGCAGGCUUAACACAUGCAAGUCGAGCGGGGUGAUGGUGCUUGCACUAUCACUUAGCGGCGGACGGGUGAGUAAUGCUUAGGAAUCUGCCUAUUAGUGGGGGACAACAUCCCGAAAGGGAUGCUAAUACCGCAUACGUCCUACGGGAGAAAGCAGGGGAUCACUUGUGACCUUGCGCUAAUAGAUGAGCCUCAGUCGGAUUAGCUAGUUGGUGGGGUAAAGGCCUACCAAGGCGACGAUCUGUAGCCGGUCUGAGAGGAUGCUCCGCCACACUGGGACUGAGACACGGCCCAGACUCCUACGGGAGGCAGCAGUGGGGAAUAUUGGACAAUGGGGGUAACCCUGAUCCAGCCAUGCCGCGUGUGUGAAGAAGGCCUUAUGGUUGUAAAGCACUUUAAGCGAGGAGGAGGCUCUUUUGGUUAAUACCCAAGAUGAGUGGACGUUACUCGCAGAAUAAGCACCGGCUAACUCUGUGCCAGCAGCCGCAGUAA